Long non-coding RNA from Pan troglodytes (chimpanzee), 2129 nucleotides. RefSeq lists it as uncharacterized. The transcript has 3 exons. The record is from RefSeq and is a predicted model, not a curated record. Lineage: Eukaryota; Metazoa; Chordata; Mammalia; Primates; Hominidae.
ACCACCUCAUUGUCCUCAAGUAAGCCAAGCACAGCCCCAGGGCCUUUGCACCUGCAGUUCUCUCUGUCUGGAAUGACUUCUUCCACCCUUCACCAUCCUCAGGAUCAAGACAGCACACACAGCCUGGGCACGGGGGCUCAUGCCUGCAAUUCCAGCACUUUGGGAGGCCAAAGCGGAUGGAUCACUUGAGGUCAGGAGUUCGAGACCAGCCUGGCCAACAAGUUGCCAACAUACCUCAUUAUUCCUGGACAUGGGACAAGAACUCACCACAUGGUGUGACUGAAAGAGCUGUAACACAAACAGGGCUGAAACAUGCCCCCCAACCCCCCACUCACCGUGUUGUGGGCAACAAGAAGGAGAGAAGAGCUGUGGCCCUUCAGGAAGCCCAGACAUAGGGGCUCCCUGAGCCAGGGCUGUGACACCUUCUUUGGAGCUCUGUGGUUCCUGGCAUUGCCAAGCUUCCAGGCACCACCAUGCUCCCCUCAUCCAGACAUAGGUAACCACAGAGGAAGCCGCCUGCAGUACAUCUUAUCCAGCUGCAGCCUUGCACGGAGUUGGUGCCUGUGCCAGUGCCUGGAGCUGCCUGUCCCUUAGCAGCAGCCAGUUCACCUGGCUGUGCACAGUGGCUGGACCCCACACUCACUCCACUUUGCUACUGGCUCACCCUUGUCAGGUGUGAGAUCCGGGCCAGUAGCACGAGCUGAGUGCAGCCUGCCAGGCCAAGUGGGCAGAAUGAGCCAAGUGGGCCUGAGCAAAAACUCGGGCAAAGGCACCACCAGCCACAGAGGUUUCCAACUGCAAAAGCAACACCCUAAGGAUCCUGAGGCAGCUUGAGAGACAAUGGAGAGUAAGACAGCAGUAGACAGAGGCAGGGCUGUGGAGCGACGCAGGCCUCCAAAGAAGAGAGAAGUUUCCAUUCCUGAAGCCUUCUGGAAUCUGAAGUUUGCUGCCCGGACUGCCCGGUUUUAGUGGAAGAAAGCUUGCAUGGGUCUCUGUUUGUUGCUACCAAAGACUCUUGGCUAGAGCAACGUGGAUGAAGGAAGGUUGAACCAAAGACAUGGCAGUGGUUCCGAGGGGCUGGGCAGCCUUUGUGGCCUCCCACCACCACCUCAAUUAAGCCAAACGGUGGAUGAAGAGAAGCUUCUGGGCUGUCAAGUGCCUGCUUCUUAAAAUCACUUUGGAGAGCCCAGGGAGUGCAGGAGGCAAAGCAGCGCCCCCUGCGUGAGUCAUCCCCAUUUGAGCAGCCUUCCCACCCUGACCUGAGACACAAGGCCACACUUAGCAUCGAGGGAGACCAAGUGAUGUACCCAGCUUCAAGCCAGGCUUUGUUACAGAGAAGAAAGGAAGGGUAGAUGUUGGCAUAGCAACCAGCAUUGUCUGCCACUCUCUCUGCGGCGUGUCUCCCCAUGAGAUGCCCCCUGGGAACAGGGUGCCUGAGUGCGAGUCUUAGGCCUGGAUGAUAAAACUGGACUUCUAAUUCCCUCUUUCACGUAAAUCAGAGCCAGUCAUAUCAUUUCUGCCCACAACCCAACAGCCGUAGUGAGCCACAGGGCCCUACCUGACUGCAGAUGGCUGGAUGCAUGGGGAGCAGAAGGAAGGUAAUGAACACCACCUCCACCAGCCUUUAACAGGAGUGACGUGGCUCUACGUGCGCUUACAGAAAAGGCCUUCAAGACCUGCCGUUAGCUGGAAAAAUAAGAAGAGCAAGCUACAAAACUCACAUAGAAUAUGAUCCCACUUGGGUAAGAAAUGGUUCAAUUAACCCUUAAUAGGCCAGGCAUAGUGGCUUGUGCAUGUAAUUCCAGCACUUUGGGAGGCCAAGGCAGUGGGUUGCUUGAGCUGACGAGUUUGAGACCAGCCUGAGCAACAUGGUGAAAACUCAUGUCUACAAAAAAUACAAAAACAAGCCAGGGGUGGUGGCACAUGCCUGUGGUCCAGCUACUCAGGAAGCUGAAGUGGGAGGAUCACUUGAGCCCAGGAGGUGGAGGUUGCAGUGAGCCAAGAAUGUGUCACUGUACUCCAGCCUGGGUGACAGAGCCAGACUCUGUCAAGAAAGAAAAGAAGGAAGGAAGGAAGGAAGGAAGGAAGGAAGGAAGGAAGGAAGGAAGGAAGGAGAAAGAGAAAGAGAG